Molecule: ribosomal RNA, 468 nt
Filed under: uncultured bacterium
Lineage: Bacteria
Description: partial 16S ribosomal RNA
Rfam family: Bacterial small subunit ribosomal RNA
Source: RNAcentral
GAUGAACGCUGGCGGCGUGCUUAACACAUGCAAGUCGAACGGUGAAGGCGGAGCUUGCUCUGCUGGAUCAGUGGCGAACGGGUGAGUAACACGUGAGCAAUCUGCCCCUGACUCUGGGAUAAGCGCUGGAAACGGCGUCUAAUACUGGAUACGAGCUGCGAAGGCAUCUUCAGCAGCUGGAAAGAAUUUCGGUCAGGGAUGAGCUCGCGGCCUAUCAGCUUGUUGGUGAGGUAAUGGCUCACCAAGGCGUCGACGGGUAGCCGGCCUGAGAGGGUGACCGGCCACACGGGGACUGAGACACGGCCCAGACUCCUACGGGAGGCAGAAGUGGGGAAUAUUGCACAAUGGGCGAAAGCCUGAUGCAGCAACGCCGCGUGAGGGACGACGGCCUUCGGGUUGUAAACCUCUUUUAGCAGGGAAGAAGCGAAAGUGACGGUACCUGCAGAAAAAGCGCCGGCUAACUACGUG